GACAGAGGGUGCAAACGUUGCUCGGAAUUACUGGGCGUAAAGCGCGUGUAGGCGGAUUGGUGUGUCGGAUGUGAAAUCCCCAGGCUCAACCUGGGAACUGCACCCGAAACUACCAGUCUCGAGUAGUGGAGAGGGAAGUGGAAUUCCUGGUGUAGAGGUGAAAUUCGUAGAUAUCAGGAGGAACACCAGUGGCGAAGGCGGCUUCCUGGACACUAACUGACGCUGAGACGCGAAAGCGUGGGGAGCAAAC
Molecule: ribosomal RNA, 250 nt
Filed under: uncultured bacterium
Lineage: Bacteria
Description: partial 16S ribosomal RNA
Rfam family: Bacterial small subunit ribosomal RNA
Source: RNAcentral